RNAcentral lists this long non-coding RNA (3177 nucleotides) under Mytilus galloprovincialis (Mediterranean mussel). The record is from RNAcentral. Lineage: Eukaryota; Metazoa; Mollusca; Bivalvia; Mytilida; Mytilidae.
CUUUAGACGUCCAAUACGAUAUAAAAUUUUUUUUACAGUUAAGCUGUACAAAAACAUACGAGGUAAGCAUAUAUCAUUUAAUUUAUUAUUAUACCUCACAUGUAUUAUAAAGAAUUAUAUUUGGUAAAACGUAAUCACGUGACAUGGAAUAAUUCAUUAAACUUUUAUUUAGUUGCAAGGAAGGACACAAAAGAUUUAUACACAAGCAGUGAAUAAAUCUAUUAUUCACCGGCAAAAAACCUUUUGAGUUUCUUGAUUUGUAAAUUCGAGUGAUCUGACUCCCUUAAAAAUGACAUCAGAGACUUAAGUAAACAAAAUAGAAACAUUCAGGAUUUACAGAAAGCCUAUUGGCUGACGAGGAAACAAGGCUUUAGACAUGCAUCGAGUACCGAUGACAUCUCUCAUAAACGGUCCUUUUUAGAGCCAUCAAUAUUUUACAUAUUCUCUACCUUUGUUGUACAUACGAGAAAUUCAAACUUCAAAGACUCAAAUUUAUUUUCAAUAGUUAACUUUUUUUUGUUUAUUUUUUUUAUGGCAAGUGUUUUUUGAAUGAUUAAAACAAUUUUGGCCCCCAAAAAGCGACGAAAGUCCAAAAAUGGCCAGUCUAAAAAAUGUUUCACCUAGCGCUGCGCCCUCAGUGAAAUAACCUUCUCGUGUUGAAUUGAAAAAUGAAAAUGCAUUUCAAUAAAUUUCAAGAGAUUUUCUACUUUUCUAAAUCAAAUAUAAUUAACUUUAUCGCGUUACAGAAGAAUACAAAAUUCAAACAUUUUUAUUUAUGCCGAAUCUAUAUUAAAAAAAGUUUUUGAAACAAACGUGAGAAAAAAAUGGCAAAAGUCAAUUCAUUUUGUUAUUUAAAUAUUUUUUUUAAAUAUUUCACACCACAAGGCAGCAGUUACAUUUCUUAGACUGUUGGUGUUACAAGCUGUAUUCCAUCUUCAUUCAGUAUCAGUAUUAUUAAUAUACUACAAAUGGGUUAGCAUUCUUCUUUCAUUGGUUAUUAUGACCGAGUUAUUCAAAUUGUAUUCCAUCAAAAUAUACACGACGUCUUUUUUUCUUCUUUUUUUUUUUAGAUAUAUGGAGGUUAUGUUUCUAUUAACUAAUACAUGUAUGCAACAUGCAAUGUAAAAUAAACAAAAAGUCAAUUUUCAUAAUACACGAUUUAUAUAAUUGGUAUGUAAAAUAUGAUUGGUAAGCACACGUCUCUCAUAAUUAAUAAGGAGAAAAAUAAAUAACAAUCAUAUUAUAUCUAGCUUUGAAUGUGCACAUUUUUGUGGAUUGACCCUUCAGAAGACCAGUUUCAAGAUGUUCAAAUGGUCGAAGCUGUAUAAAUGAAUAGGCAGAAGACAACAAAAAAAAAAAAAAAUUAAAAACUAAGUUUGAGCAACACAAGCCCUACAUAAAAAAAAGGAGUUGCCUCAGAUGUUCCAAAAUGGAGAAGUUUAAAUAUUCAUAAACACCAUCGGUCCAGGAUAACUGAACCAUAUUUGUCAACUUCCACACAUUUAUUACGGACGAACAAUGUUAUUCAAAAUGACCAUAAGAGUCAACAUAACACUAUAUAGUUAGAUGCAUUUAGAAAAUACUAUAUAAUAUGAAAAAUACAGAAAUAGCUCUAGUCUAUUGUAGUGAAUAAACUCAUCAUAGAUACGAGGAUAAAUUUUGUAUCUACGCCAGACUUCAAAAGACUCACCAGUGACGCUCGAAUCCAAAAAAGUUGAAAAGACAAAAUAAAGUACGAAGUUGAAAAGCAUUAGGACCAAAAUUCAUAAAUGUUUUGCCAAAUACAACUAAGGUAAUCGUGAUAGGUAGCGACUGCCAUUAACACAAAAUGUUAAAAUAAACAAACAUUAAGAUAUUAAAUUUUAAAAGCAAGUACCUAUGAUAUAUGAUGUUUUUUUCUUUCUAGGUUCUCCAUCUAAUCGACUUUUAUGAUGCAUCUGAUAUUGAUUCUUCUUGUGACUCCUUUUGUUUUCGGUAAAUAUAUAGUUGUUUUAUAUCUACAUAAUUCUGAACGAUUUCUAAAUGAAAAUAAAAUAUAUAUAGACAAUAACUAUCUAAUGUCUUUAAAUUUCAGCUGUAUUUGUACUAGGCCAAUACACAGGUGUAAUGCGAGCUUCAGCGACCUAUUACUCCUGUUUCGAGCCGAGUACACAUACUGCCGAUAUUUGUUUAACUUUGUACAUCUUUUGACAUCUUAAGCGUUGAAUUUGUUUUUGAAAGAAAUCGACAGGACAUAAACGCAGACCGCAAUGAGGACCCCAAAUUGAACUGUAAACAAAACUUUGACACAACCGUUCGCUUGCAACAGAAGCAGAAUACCGUGAAACUAUUUACGUCUUGUAUAUGUAUAUCGCUUCGUGUUAUCUGGUAACCUGUAUUAGUAUAGUAGCAAUGUCGAUCGCUGGAUAAAUAUAAAAAAACUGAUUACAUAUACCAUUUUAUAUAGAAAUCCUAAUUAUGUAAUUAAAGUGUAAUUAUUUUUCGUAGAGAGUUCUUUAAAUGGAUAUGUUGCAUGUUUAUAAUUUAUAUAAGUAUCAUACUGUUUUAUAACUGUUAAACACAUACACUAUCGCACAUAUUAGCUAUUCGUCAUUUGGUUUUUUGAAAAAAAUCUAGAGAAUGCAGAUUAAAUCACAGAAACAAAACAAACAAAAAAUUCCAAGUCUCAUGCUUUUGAAAAAAUAAACAAUAUCAUUUGGAAAUCAUGUGUAGUUUUGAAAUUUGUAAGAAAUGACACUGUGUUCUAAAUCUAUUACCAUUUUGCGAUAUGUGCAGAAUAAUAAUUAUCUCCUCAUGUAGCCAGAAACGUGGGCGUUGAGUCCAAGUCUACAUUAGUGUAAAAUACAAACCUUACAUUUUGUUUUUACAUUGAAACUUCAAGGAUUAUACACACAACUAUUACAUUUAUAUAUUGUGAUUUGUAAAUAAUUAAGAAAAGAUAUCAAGAUUUUUUUAUUUUUUUUUUAUGUCAAACUAUUUCUUUUUUGCUUUACAAUUUUUGCAAUAUAAUUAUACUGCAUAUACUUCUGUAUUGCAAGUUGUUCUUAAUGAUUAUAUUCUUAUUCUACAGUUUCGGGAGCUCGAAAUUGUCCAAGGCGACCACGUCACCCUGAUGGAUGUGAUAAAGUAAUUAAACACUACACGAAAGGAUGUUUGACAAGAUAUGAAUGUAAAUCA